Molecule: ribosomal RNA, 538 nt
Filed under: uncultured bacterium
Lineage: Bacteria
Description: bacterial SSU rRNA
Rfam family: Bacterial small subunit ribosomal RNA
Source: RNAcentral
AAUAGAUACCCUGGUAGUCCACGCCGUAAACGAUGAGUGCUAAGUGUUAGAGGGUUUCCGCCCUUUAGUGCUGAAGUUAACGCAUUAAGCACUCCGCCUGGGGAGUACGGCCGCAAGGCUGAAACUCAAAGGAAUUAACGGGGGGCCCGCACAAGCGGUGGAGCAUGUGGUUUAAUUCGAAGCAACGCGAAGAACCUUACCAGGUCUUGACAUCCUCUGACAACCCUAGAGAUAGGGCUUCUCCUUCGGGAGCAGAGUGACAGGUGGUGCAUGGUUGUCGUCAGCUCGUGUCGUGAGAUGUUGGGUUAAGUCCCGCAACGAGCGCAACCCUUGAUCUUAGUUGCCAUCAUUAAGUUGGGCACUCUAAGGUGACUGCCGGUGACAAACCGGAGGAAGGUGGGGAUGACGUCAAAUCAUCAUGCCCCUUAUGACCUGGGCUACACACGUGCUACAAUGGACGGUACAAAGAGCUGCAAGACCGCGAGGUGGAGCUAAUCUCAUAAAACCGUUCUCAGUUCGGAUUGUAGGCUGCUAACCG